CUGAAGGCUACUUGCUGUCUCUUUUUCUCUCUAGUUUUUAUGCUGAUUGCGGCGACGAUGCUCCGUUCUCUUGGUGGUUGCCGGCGGCGAUGGUGGCGGCGGCGGCGGCGGUGGCGGCGGUGGCUGUUCCGUUGAUGUUGAAGUCGGUGGCGUGUGGAGGAGGAGGAGGAGGAGGAGGAGGUGAGGUGGGAGGGUUGAAUGGCGGGGCGGCGGCGGCGGCGGCGGAGGAGGAGGAGGCGCUGCGGCGGGCGCUGUGGCCGCCGAGGUAGUUGUGCUUGUUGUUGUGCAUCCAGACCUUGAAGACGCCCUUGCCGACGCCGAUGUCG
This 326-nucleotide long non-coding RNA is filed under the name Oryza sativa (Asian cultivated rice). RNAcentral describes it as "long non-coding RNA (OSAT_LNC001656)". Lineage: Eukaryota; Viridiplantae; Streptophyta; Magnoliopsida; Poales; Poaceae. The record is from RNAcentral.